AAACAGCACAGUGUUUUACAUCAGCUGUAACAUAACGUACCUCUUUACAACUGAUCUGCCUCCCUCAUAAGUAUGAAAAGUAUGUCGUAGCUGGAAAAUAACGUAACUGCUGCUUGGGCUGUAACAGUACGGACAACAACUUAAAGAAUCAUUGAACACUGUCCUCAGAGGACAACUGCAUCCUGCUCCACCAUCCCAGUUACAUAGAAAUUGUUCAGGAAAUCAGCACCAGUCGUCUUUGUGACUGGACUACCAAAAAAUAGGGACUGACCAGUUUCCCAUCCAGUCACUCAUCUUGGGACAUGCCAUGUGCUCUAUAAAG
RNAcentral lists this long non-coding RNA (322 nucleotides) under Struthio camelus australis. Its description in RNAcentral is "lncRNA (ENSSCUG00000013395.1)". Lineage: Eukaryota; Metazoa; Chordata; Aves; Struthioniformes; Struthionidae. The record is from RNAcentral.